This 354-nucleotide ribosomal RNA is filed under the name uncultured bacterium. Its description in RNAcentral is "bacterial SSU rRNA". It matches the Rfam family "Bacterial small subunit ribosomal RNA", at positions 1 to 334 of the family's 1533-position model. The record is from RNAcentral.
ACAGAUCGUUCAGAGUUUGAUCCUGGCUCAGGAUGAACGCUGGCGGCGUGCCUAACACAUGCAAGUCGAGCGAGAAUUCUUUAACUGAUUCUUCGGAUGAUUUUAAAGAAGGGAAGCGGCGGACGGGUGAGUAACGCGUAGGCAACCUGCCUCUCACAGAGGGAUAGCCAUUGGAAACGAUGAUUAAAACCUCAUAACGCCAUUUAGAGACAUCUUUAGAUGGCCAAAGAUUUAUCGGUGAGAGAUGGGCCUGCGUCUGAUUAGCUAGUUGGUGGGGUAACGGCCCACCAAGGCGACGAUCAGUAGCCGACCUGAGAGGGUGAUCGGCCACAUUGGAACUGAGACACGGUCCAA